Molecule: ribosomal RNA, 469 nt
Filed under: uncultured bacterium
Lineage: Bacteria
Description: bacterial SSU rRNA
Rfam family: Bacterial small subunit ribosomal RNA
Source: RNAcentral
AGAGUUUGAUCCUGGCUCAGGAUGAACGCUGGCGGCGUGCUAACACAUGCAAGUCGAGCGGCAGCGAGGGUGCUUGCACCCUGUCGGCGAGCGGCGGACGGCUGAGUAACGCGUGGGAACGUGCCCCAAAGUGAGGAAUAACUGCCCGAAAGGGUAGCUAAUACCGCAUAUUAUCUUCGGAUCAAAGGAUUUAUCCGCUUUGGGAGCGGCUCGCGUCGGAUUAGGUAGUUGGUGAGGUAAUGGCUCACCAAGCCGACGAUCCGUAGCUGGUCUGAGAGGAUGACCAGCCAGACUGGAACUGAGACACGGUCCAGACUCCUACGGGAGGCAGCAGUGAGGAAUCUUCCACAAUGGGCGAAAGCCUGAUGGAGCAACGCCGCGUGCAGGACGAAGGCCCUCGGGUUGUAAACUGCUUUUAUAAGUGAGGAAUAUGACGGUAACUUAUGAAUAAGGAUCGGCUAACUACGUG